Molecule: non-coding RNA, 2157 nt
Organism: Rattus norvegicus (Norway rat)
Lineage: Eukaryota; Metazoa; Chordata; Mammalia; Rodentia; Muridae
Source: RefSeq, a predicted model, not a curated record
AUCCAAUAAUAAAAUCUUAUUUUGAAAAAAAAAAGACUGUACUUGCCUCUGAAUAUUGUUACAUAGUCUUCUAAUACCUACAAUAUAGAUAUUCUGAUAUUAUUUUCAGUGGAAUUCUCUAGAAACAUUUUGAAUGAAAUAAAAUCUUGCAAAACCAGUUGAAUAUCCUGUUUCUAAUUACUAUCACUUUAGUCCUUCCGUAAUCCCCCCCUCAAUCGCUCUAAUAUACCUGGAUGCUUUACUAGCAUCUCCUCACUCUUCACAUCCAAUGCUUUUUGCUCUACUUCACAGGUGAGAGGAUCUGGCUAAGGAGUGUGACACUUGCAUAGGAGAAAAGAUUCUUCAGAAAGCACCCUGGAACUUUCCAUGGACUGAAAAUAAAAGAGGUUAACACCCUCCAAAAGGAUACAAGCAAGAAAAGAAAAGGUUUUGAAAAAAAAAAAAGUCUCGUUUCCUCUAAGGACUUCACUUUACUCUGAAAUGAGAUACUCAUUCACACACAGCUCACACCCAUGCAUAGUCCUGGGAACUGUGAGGAGGAGUUUGGGAGGUUGCUGUUCACUCACAGAAAACACCCUACUGCAAUUCUGGAACAGGAGGUCUCUAUAAAGAGCCCUGAGAGCAGGGUCUAGGCAUUCCCAUUCCUCCUAGAAGUUCACAGUCACGCAAUGUCAACAAACCAUGAAAUAUAAAACAACAGCUGGGCAGAUGUCUAGGGGCAGAGCGCUGUUCUUGAAAAAAGAAGGCAUUUUUCUGAUACAGGUAUAGCUGUGGCACCCGAUAAAGUAUAUUUUCCGAUUCAGCUAAACCUGGUUCCUCGCGUGAUUACUAUCUACAAACCUCUUGAGUAAGUAAGCAAGUGGUAAGACAAGAGAGUGAGAAAGCAUGGAUGAAUUAAAGUCCAGGAGUUUUGUAAUUUCCACAAUGGCAAAGAGAACCCUGUUUGCAAACAACAGAUAACGCAUAUGUUCUGCCAGAUUCCUGAAUAUUGUAAAAUGAAUAAGAAAAAAAAUCACGAUAAGCCCCUGUUCACAGAAUCUCAAACUUCCAGGAUAUGGUAAGAUAUCCACAACAGAAUUGUGAGAGUGGCGUCCUUAAGCAGCGGCCAAACCACACUCCCGGUCUUUUCCGAUAGUUCCCCAGCCCCGCAACUCCUCUGACCUGGGAGGUUCAGGGCCUCAGGGCUGCGGUUCUCACCGCUGGGCGGGUGAUUGCUAACUCUAGGGGAUUUUUCAAGUCCCGGAAUACGAGGCCCGCCUUCCACUUCAGGACCGGGGCACCCGGAGUCCUUCAGGGAAUGGAGGAAUUUCCUGUCACUGUGGUCUGGUUGGUUGGAAAGACUCCUCCACGACCCGCCCAACAGACAUCCGCUUCCUUCUACGCGUUCUCUCCAAACCCGCGGACUGUGGGCUCUUUUACUUAAUUAGCUUCCCAAUUCCUCCCAGCCAUUAUCAACGCUCCCCACCCUCUCCUCCCAGCCUCCCAAUGGCUUAGGAUCAGGCAGCUGUGCCCACUCUCCCCUUCAGGAACCGCCUCUUAGAAUCCAUCUCAAGCUGCCUUCCACGGAGCUGCUAGGCUGCCCUGGACCCUCUCGGUGCCCAGACUUCUCCGGAGCUUGCCGCCAGCCAAGACCAGAACUAGAUCUGGUAGGACACUAAACCAGGAUGAAAAUCCUGCUGUGUCUACAAUUUGAGUACUAAAUAAAAGAUUUGGCAAAUUCAAGGCACUUUUUAAAAUUCUGUAAAGUGGAAUUUCCAGUUUACAAAAGGACAAAAAGAUAGCAUAGUGAUGUUCAACUAUAUGAUUUCUUUGCAACAAGCAUUUUCUGAAGUAUUAAGAACUGAAGGAUCAUCACAGAGCCUGGUCACAUUCUUCAGAUUUCUACAUUUUGUCUCCAUCAUUAUAUUUGGUUAUUGAACUAGAAAAAUAUUUAUUGUUAUUUUUUAAAUAUUUUUUGAAAUUAGAAUUAUAUCAUUUCCUCACUUCCUUUCUUUCCCUCCCUUCCUCCACAUGAACUCUCAGAUGAAUCCUCACCCACAUGCUCUCUUUCAAACUCAUAGUCUUUUUUCUUUCAUUUUUGGUAAUUUAUAUGCAAAUAUUUUUACUGAAGAUUUUCUGUACAUUUAUAAUUUAAAAAAAUAUUAAGUCUUGUUGUUU